GCGGUAGUAGUUUAAUGGCAGAACUUUCGGCUGUGGCCCGGAUGGACUGGGUUCAAUUCCCAGCUACCGCC
RNAcentral lists this transfer RNA (71 nucleotides) under Candidatus Woesearchaeota archaeon. Its description in RNAcentral is "tRNA-His". It matches the Rfam family "tRNA". Rfam says of the family: Transfer RNA (tRNA) molecules are approximately 80 nucleotides in length. Lineage: Archaea; Nanobdellati; Candidatus Woesearchaeota. The record is from RNAcentral.